CCUACGGGUGGCAGCAGUGGGGAAUAUUGCACAAUGGGGGAAACCCUGAUGCAGCGACGCCGCGUGAGUGAUGAAGUAUUUCGGUAUGUAAAGCUCUAUCAGCAGGGAAGAUAAUGACGGUACCUGACUAAGAAGCUCCGGCUAAAUACGUGCCAGCAGCCGCGGUAAUACGUAGGGAGCAAGCGUUAUCCGGAUUUACUGGGUGUAAAGGGAGCGCAGACGGCAGGGCAAGUCUGAUGUGAAAGUCCGGGGCUCAACCCCGGGACUGCAUUGGAAACUGUCCGGCUAGAGUGCAGAAGAGGAGAGUGGAACUCGAUGUGUAGCGGUGAAAUGCGUAGAUAUAUGGAAGAACACCAGUGGCGAAAGCGGCUCUCUGGUCUGUAACUGACGCUGAGGUUCGAAAGCGUGGGUAGCAAACAGGAUUAGAUACCCGGGUAGUC
Molecule: ribosomal RNA, 440 nt
Filed under: uncultured bacterium
Lineage: Bacteria
Description: partial 16S ribosomal RNA
Rfam family: Bacterial small subunit ribosomal RNA
Source: RNAcentral